UAACGCUCCUGGCUGGCCAAUUAAAUAAGAAGAGGACGUGUAAAUUAAAAUUAGGUUUUUGAUAGCCAUCCUUCUUCUGAGGCUUCAGAGAACAGUAGAUGGAUCAACCUUAGAGGCAGAUGCAUCUCUCAGGUCCAGCAUCAGGAGCAACACCGGUCCUCUUCUACGGUCUAGACGCUUUCUUCCCUAAUUAAAAGCUACCAGAGCAUACAGACAGGCCUGCGACAAACACCCAGCUUUUAUCAGCCAAAGCAGAUCUGUUUUAUUUGAGCCUUUGAUUUGGUCCAUUUAACAGACUUUAAUAUUUAGAAAAGAAACAGUUCCAGGAAGUAACACUAGAUGCCACUGGAGAGCUGUAAUUGCUGUGCUGUUUGACCCGUUCAGUCUUCGAACUGGUGCGCUUUUAGUUAGAGAGCGCUGAAAUCUAUGAAAAUUAGACCCCCCCUGGCUGCUGUUAUUUUCGGGGGGGACCUCAGUCCUUCAUCUAUGGCUGCUUGACGUGCCUCAGGCCUAUUCGACUGCAACAACGGCAGCACAAACGGACGUGCACAGACAAGACGGUUCGCAUACCAAACAACUUCCCCAAAAAGACGCAGUUUAUUGGAAACGUGUAUAAAUGGGUAUAUAAAUCCGCGCACCUGUGAGCAUUUAAACGGAGGGCAUCCCAUCAAGGAGCAUCCUUGUUCAGAUGUUGACUGGCUUGACUCACACAUGGCUGUGUGGCAGUGAUACUUUGAAUCCACGUGGAAGAGCAGAUGGCCAUAUUAUAUAACAUUAUUGCAUGUAAGCAGAGCUGAAAAGGGGGACGGAGAGAGAUUUCCCAAGCUACCUCGGUUUGAAGGCCUCCAACACAAAGCGUGCUUUUACUCUGUGAUUACUCACAAAUAGUUUUUUUCUGAUGUGAAUGAGCGCGCUCAGAAGCUCAUCGAUGUCUCCAAAAGCAUGAUGAUGCUGUUUUCAUUUGUUGAGCAAGAAAAAUACGAGAGGAUUGUUGUAGUGAUUGAUUGCAGAUAUGGUACAUAUUUGUGUAUAUUAAGGGUCUCAAAAAGAAACCCCCAAAAAGAGAAAAAAAUCACUGAAAUGUUGCAAAUGGAAUAAAAAUACU
This is a long non-coding RNA of Oreochromis niloticus (Nile tilapia), 1105 nucleotides long. RefSeq lists it as uncharacterized. The transcript has 3 exons. Lineage: Eukaryota; Metazoa; Chordata; Actinopteri; Cichliformes; Cichlidae. The record is from RefSeq and is a predicted model, not a curated record.